GCCCAGUCUCGCCCCGCCCUGCUCUCUCCUCCUCGUUCUCAAUGGAAGAGCUGCAUCAGCGGCGCAGAGGCAGUGUAGCAAGGGGGCCGCCAGGCACAGGGAGGGAAGGAAGCUGGGGAGGAGUUCUCAGGCCUCCUCCCACCUCUCCUAUCACCUCUUCUGCCAUCUCGUCCCUUCUGUAUUAUUCUUUUCUUCUUCCCCUCCUUUUCUACAGCUGAUGUUGUAUUAGCAGAGGCCCAGUCACACCAGCUGAAUGAAGAUUCUGUAUCAUGUCAUGGAGAGAAUCUAGAGUACUUGAAGACGGUGCUGGCAAGAAAAGAGCUAGGGUUUAUCAUGUUGUGAAAGGAGAUAGAUAUUACAUACACUGGGGAAAAAUUCAUGGAGGAAAUCAAGUGAAGAAUGACUCUUCUGGGAAUAUGGAGGUGGGACACAUGGCUCAGUUUGUGAUCAGGAACCAUCAGGGGUUCUCCAGAGUCACCAAGAUAAAGGUAAAAUUUCCCAGCUUGGCAGACAAAGUUCUCAGCAAUUUUGUCCCAAACAACCUUUUAAAAUUUAUCUCACACUUUCCCUGAAAAUGUAUCCCUUCCCUUCCCUUUUCUACUCUAGUGAAGCCAAUUUUCUUGAUGACCUCUGAAUACUACAAGUUAAUUUCUGCCUUUCACAGUUAUAGAAUCUCAGCAUUAGAAAGGACUUCAGGCCAUGGAAUAUAAUUUGUACCUGAGCAGGAAGUCAUUCUUUAGUAUACCUGAUAAGUGGUCUCACCUAGCCUUGGCUUGAAAGCAAUUAAUGAGGGGAAACCCCAUUACCUUGUUAGGCAAAUAAGUCUACUUUUGAAGAAAUAAAUGUGAGGAAAUUUCCCA
Molecule: long non-coding RNA, 860 nt
Filed under: Monodelphis domestica (gray short-tailed opossum)
Lineage: Eukaryota; Metazoa; Chordata; Mammalia; Didelphimorphia; Didelphidae
Description: lncRNA (ENSMODG00000033436.2)
Source: RNAcentral